This 3100-nucleotide long non-coding RNA is filed under the name Scleropages formosus (Asian bonytongue). Its description in RNAcentral is "lncRNA (ENSSFOG00015026342.1)". The record is from RNAcentral. Lineage: Eukaryota; Metazoa; Chordata; Actinopteri; Osteoglossiformes; Osteoglossidae.
GAGCUCCUGAGCUCUCAGGUAAAGAGUAGGUUUGAGACCUGUUGUCUCUAGUGAGAUGUGAAGAUGCUGGUGUGGGAAAGAACUCAUUGGUGAGGGACUAGUAAGGAUUAGUGAUAAAGGUAGUGCCUCAGAUGUGGAGAAGUGAUCACCAGUUGGGAACAGUGUCUGCAGGCUGUACAGGUGAGGUACAGGUAUCCACAGUGUGGUACAUGUGUAGUGUGUAUUUCAGGUGUGUUACAGGUAUCUGAAAAAUGGCACUGGUGUGGUGUUGGUGUGGUACAGCCAUGUGUACAAGUGAGAUAUGGGUAUCUGCAGUAUGGUGCAGGUCUGGUGUCUGGUCAGGUGUGUUCAAGCUAUGCUUUGGAAACAGCGGGGAGCUGCUGAACCGGUUUGGGGUGGUUCAUUAAUAGAAGAUCAUGAAUGCCUGACAUGAAUGUCUGUCUUGGUAUAAGACACAGAUAGGGGAACUCCCUUUGUGUGUGUGUGUGUGUGUGUGUGUGUGUGUGUUGCUGUUUUCUGUCCCAUGUUGAGAUCUCUGACGCAAGACAGGUGUGUCUUUCCCCCUCUCUGCACAAUGAUAGGUGUGGUACCUGAACGCUCCAGUCAACCUGAAGCAGGGCGCACAUUGUCUCACUGAACGCGAUCACCUGCAGGUCCACUUUACUUCACUUUACUCCAUUUUACCUCGCGCUGUACUCCACUUCGGACAAGUCUGACCCGCUUUCGCACCCGAGGACAGAGGCUGGAUCCAUCGCAAGGAUUCCUGGAGACGGAUCGGACCGGGCGCGCCCCCCAUGGGAGUCACAUGCCGCAUCGGGAGAGGGUCUCCUCGGGAGCGCGCAAUGGAGCUCGCAGCGCGACCCCGCGCGCUGCCCCCAGAAUGGUGUCCUUUCCUGGCCAGGAUCUCAAGAGCAAAGGACACAACCUACUGCAGAGCAAAGUCUUCCUGUGUCUCUCUAUCCUUCUCUGCCAUGAAGCCAUAGUGACAGAGGCUGCUUAUCUGGGGGGAAUGAAGGCUGUGUUUCCUAAUGACUGCGGUGACCACUGGACCCUACGAGAGCAGGGGACCCUGGCAAAGCUGGCCAAGAUGACCGUGUGCGUGGAUGUGCGCGUCCUCUUUCCAGGCACAUGGAUAGCCUUCUCCUACAGAAGCCCCCACAGUCCACAAUCAGAACUGACCCUGCAAGGUGACGGAAGGAUUCUGUUAGUGAUGCUGGGCUGGCAGAGAUACCGCUUCUAUGUGCCCCUGGCCCUCAACCAGUGGCAUCGCGUGUGUUUAUCCCUCAACGCACCCAAAUCCUUCCUCACCCUGAGGGUGAACAACGUCAACUACUGGCAGAGUAUCGGCACAGCAGUCUCACCCACCUCAUCAAGCGGGGAAUUAAGGCUGGGUUGCCAGCGCCCAUCUGAGAGUGUGGCAAAAGUGGAGCUUUACCUCCUUCGUGUUUGGGAUAAUGUCCUUCGCCAUAGCAACUGUGAGGAUGGCAAUGUGGUUGGUUGGAACUCAGAGCAGUGGGAGUACCACGCCAGCACAGUGAUGGAAGAUUCAACACUUCCAUGUGGUCAUCAUCGUAUCAAACGUGACGACAAAAAUGGCCAAAGCCCCUUCUCGUCAUCUACACAAAGCCCUACACCAUCAUCUAUUCCUCCAUCAAGCUCUGCCCCAUCAUCACAGACAUUAACUAGUACACUACCAUCUCCACCUCCAGAAACCCUUAUAUCUAAACCUACCUCAACCUCUACCCCACCAGCUUCAGCUACAUCAACCUUUCAUGCAUCUAAUUCAUUUACAUCUGUCUCCACCCCAUUACCUCCACCAACUACAACUUCCACAUCAACACCUUCAAUUGAAAGAACCCUUACAGCUCCAUCUACCUCAAAUUCUACCCCAACACCUAGAGCAGCAUUUACUGCUCUGUCUUCAACCACCACAACAUUUUCAACAACACCCACCCUGUUACUGACAGGCUCACCUAGUACAAUACCUUCUACAACAUUCAGUACACCACCUUCGACACUCCCAAACACAACACCUUCAGCCACAUUUACCCAACCACCUUUAACAUCUCCUAACACAACACUUCCAGCUACAUCCAUCACACCACCUCCAACAUCUCCUAACACAACAUCUACCAACCCAAUGCUUUCAGUCACAUCCACCACACCACCUUCAACAUCUCUCAGUAUAACUUAUCCAAACACAAAGAUUUUAAGCACUCAUACGACAGCACUUUUAGCAUCUCCUAACACAACAUCUCCCAACACCACAUUUUCAACCAUGUUCACUUUACCACCUUCAACAUCUCCCAACAUAAAUGUUUCAACCACGUUCACUUCAUCACCUUUAACAUUUCCCAACACAACAUCUCCCAACAUAAAUGUUUCAACCACGUUCACUUCACCACCUUUAAUAUUUCCCAACACAACAUCUCCCAACAUAAAUGUUUCAACCACGUUCACUUCACCACCUUUAACAUUUCCCAACACAACAUCUCCCAACAUAAAUGUUUCAACCAUGUUCACUUCACCACCUUUAAUAUUUCCCAACACAACAUCUCCCAACAUAAAUGUUUCAACCACGUUCACUUCACCACCUUUAACAUUUCCCAACACAUCUCCCAACAUAAAUGUUUCAACCACGUUCACUUCACCACCUUUAACAUUUCCCAACACAACAUCUCCUAACAUAAAUGUUUCAACCACAUUCACUUCACCACCUUCAACAUUUCCCAACACAACAUCUCCUAACAUAAAUGUUUCAACCACGUUCACUUCACCACCUUCAACAUUUCCCAACACAACAUCUCCUAACAUAAAUGUUUCAACCACAUUCACUUCACCACCUUCAACAUUUCCCAACACAACAUCUCCUAACAUAAAUGUUUCAACCACGUUCACUUCGCCACCUUCAACAUCUCCCAACACAACAUCUCCCAAUACAACUAUAUCCACCACGCUGCUGCCAGCUUCGCCCAACACGCUGCUUCCAGGCAUGUCAACAGCAACAACUCCAUCAAACAGUAAGAGUAGUACUGAAAUGUGGAGACCUGAUUUUUGUGCAAUACAUAGGUGGGUCAAUGAUUCCUUUGCUCAGCUAUAA